Molecule: unclassified non-coding RNA, 339 nt
Filed under: soil metagenome
Description: partial contains 5.8S ribosomal RNA, internal transcribed spacer 2, and large subunit ribosomal RNA
Rfam family: 5.8S ribosomal RNA (bases 1-120)
Source: RNAcentral
GUUGAAGAACGUAGCGAAAUGCGAUAAGUAAUGUGAAUUGCAGAAUUCAGUGAAUCAUCGAAUCUUUGAACGCACAUUGCGCCCGCCAGUAUUCUGGCGGGCAUGCCUGUCCGAGCGUCAUUUCAACCAUCAAGCCCCCGGGCUUGUGUUGGGGACCUGCGGCUGCCCGCAGGCCCUGAAAACCAGUGGCGGGCUCGCUGUCACACCGAGCGUAGUAGCAAUCACCUCGCUCAGGGCGUGCUGCGGGUUCCGGCCGUUAAACAGCCUUACAAAACCCAAGGUUGACCUCGGAUCAGGUAGGAAGACCCGCUGAACUUAAGCAUAUCAAUAAGCGGAGGA